Molecule: long non-coding RNA, 1074 nt
Organism: Asparagus officinalis (garden asparagus)
Lineage: Eukaryota; Viridiplantae; Streptophyta; Magnoliopsida; Asparagales; Asparagaceae
Exons: 5
Source: RefSeq, a predicted model, not a curated record
GACUCAGGGUUUUCACGAGAGAAAAACAUCAAGACAUUCUCUGUGAGUCAAGACACGCAUGCCCUUGUGAGAAAAGAAACUAGAAAAUCUAUGAUUGAUGAGAAAGAAUGUCUAGUGUACUUAUGCAGGCAGUAACUUAAGAUUUCAUCGCAACGAAAUGUAUGGACAGCUGAACUGGUUCUUGGUUAGACGGGAUUCCUUCUCUGGCAGACAUUGAAGAAGGAAAUUUAUUAGUACAUGAUUUCAGUAAUCUAGAGGUUUCUGAAUCGGAAGGCGAAAGUGAUUAAGAGUGUCUUUGAGUUCCAGCACAAUGUAUGUGGCCGUUCUAUAUAUGCCGAGGGAACUAUUGAUGCUGCCAUAUUUCUGUCGAAAAAGGUGCAGUCCAAGGCUGAUAAGAAAAUAUACGACAUGAUUGAUGUAUUGAGAGAAGGCAACAUGCGAUAAGUUCUACUUUUGACAUUUGCUUUCUACAAUUAAUUAGUAUGAUUGCAUUUGGAGCUGAAGUUGCUGUUGUUGCUGAUGCAAUUCUUGUUGCUGCUGCAGCUGUUGAAGAUGAUGUUGCUCCUCUAACCUGAAGUUUCAAAAAUUGCUCCAACUCUGGCAUAUACUGGUUAACUGACUGUUGAUGCUGCAGAGAACCUUGAAUUUGUUCAAUAAAUGGCACAGACGAAUUCUGACGAGAAAGCAAGCGCUGCUGCUAAAGCUGUUGUUGGUGCUGCUGUUGCUGCUGCUGUUGCUAAAGUUGCUGAAGUUGCUGAAGCUGCUGCUGCCGAAGCAGUUGUUGCUGAUGCUGCAGAGAACCUUGAAUUUGUGAGCUAGUAGUACGUCUAUAACUGCAGUUAUUUUGGUUGAUUUUGGUUGAUUCUGUAAUAUGUUUAUACUGUUUCCUUGCGUUGUGAUUAUUGUCAGUCGCAGCAUUGUCAAUUUGGGGGCUAAGAUUUACUUUCUCGUAAAAUCCCUCUCUUUUGAUCUUUGUUUCCUGGUCUUUUCUUUCUUCUGUCAUGAUCCUGUUCAUGCCUGAACAUUUGAAAGAUGGGAAAUAAGUAGACUAUGGUUGUGCUACUAUUUUGUUUA